CAGCCGCCGCGGGAAUACGUAGGUGGCAAGCGUUGUCCGGAAUUAUUGGGCGUAAAGGGCUCGCAGGCGGUUUCUUAAGUCUGAUGUGAAAGCCCCCGGCUCAACCGGGGAGGGUCACUGGAAACUGGGAAACUUGAGUGCAGAAGAGGAGAGUGGAAUUCCACGUGUAGCGGUGAAAUGCGUAGAGAUGUGGAGGAACUCCAGUGGCGAAGGCGACUCUCUGGUCUGUAACUGACGCUGAGGAGCGAAAGCGUGGGGAGCGAACAGGAUUAGAUACCCGUGUAGUCCCUGUCUCUUAUAC
This 301-nucleotide ribosomal RNA is filed under the name uncultured bacterium. RNAcentral describes it as "partial 16S ribosomal RNA". It matches the Rfam family "Bacterial small subunit ribosomal RNA", at positions 509 to 807 of the family's 1533-position model. The record is from RNAcentral.